Molecule: ribosomal RNA, 55 nt
Filed under: Thermodesulfobacteriota bacterium
Lineage: Bacteria; Pseudomonadati; Thermodesulfobacteriota
Source: RNAcentral
CCUGGUGACCAUGGCGAAGGGGAAACACCCGUUCCCAUUCCGAACACGGAAGCUA